UGGUUCUGGCAUNGAUGAAGAACGCAGCGAAAUGCGAUAAGUAAUGUGAAUUGCAGAAUUCAGUGAAUCAUCGAAUCUUUGAACGCACAUUGCGCCCGCCGGUAUUCCGGCGGGCAUGCCUGUCCGAGCGUCAUUUCAACCCUCAAGCCCCGGCUUGGUGUUGGGGCGCCCGGGUCCACCGGACCCGGGGCCCCCAAGCUGAUCGGCGGUCCCGCUGGAACCCUGAACGCAGUAACUCGCGGUAAAACGCAGCCUCGUUCGGCCAGUCCCGGCGCGCUCCUGCCGCUAAACCCCCCAAAUCUAAAGGUUGACCUCGGAUCAGGUAGGAAUACCCGCUGA
Molecule: unclassified non-coding RNA, 339 nt
Filed under: uncultured fungus
Lineage: Eukaryota; Fungi
Description: partial contains 5.8S ribosomal RNA and internal transcribed spacer 2
Rfam family: 5.8S ribosomal RNA (bases 1-133)
Source: RNAcentral